UGCAUUGCAUCUGGAAUAAACGGCGUGCCUCUCUAAGCCACAGUAAUUCCCCUUCCACUUUUCCCCUUCCCACUUCCUUUGUGCACCUCUCAGCUCCCUAGCAAUGCGCGGUUGAAAAUUAUCGAUCUAUGUCAGGCAUGAUUGAAAUCUCUCAUUCCAUUUUUCACAGGUUCAACAGAAGCCUCCUCCCCGCACUGGUGAUACACUUGCUUCUAAACCACAACCAGACCCACAGGCCCGAAACCCGGCUCAAGGAUCUCCUGCUUCUUUGUGUGAUGGCCAGAAGGAACCAGAAGGAAAAAGAGAGGAAAUAUCAUCAGAUGAAAUCAUGAUACAGGAUAUAAUUAAAAUACUGGAAUCAAUUCCUCCCCAGGUGUGGGCAGACCUCAUUGAAACAUGCAAUCAAAGGUUGGAGGAAAACGAAAGGAUGCUCAGACAAAGAGAAGAAGAGAUAAAAAAGUCUGAAGAUGAGCUUCUAAACAUCCAAAAGAAAAGGAAAGGUAUUGAAGAGAGCACUGUGCAAAUGGAAGAAUUCAAAAAGGAUGGAAAUAAGCUAGAAAAUGAGAAGAAAGAGCUGGAAAGGAAGAGGGAUAACUUUAAAGAGGAGAGGGAUAAGCUUCUAAAGGAAAUGAAAAAACUAAUAUUCUUCAAAGAAAUUAUUGAGAAACCAAUUAAUGAUCCAAAGGUUAGUGGUGCAAUGUGUCUUUUUAAACAAUUAUAUUACAUGUAAAAGAAAAGAAUGA
Molecule: long non-coding RNA, 743 nt
Filed under: Chrysemys picta bellii (western painted turtle)
Lineage: Eukaryota; Metazoa; Chordata; Testudines; Emydidae
Description: lncRNA (ENSCPBG00000001137.1)
Source: RNAcentral